RNAcentral lists this ribosomal RNA (754 nucleotides) under uncultured archaeon. RNAcentral's name for it is "bacterial SSU rRNA". It matches the Rfam family "Archaeal small subunit ribosomal RNA", at positions 102 to 859 of the family's 1478-position model. The record is from RNAcentral.
AGUCAACAUGCCCAAAGGACGUGGAUAACCUCGGGAAACUGAGGAUAAACCGCGAUAGGUCAUAAGUACUGGAAUGUUUUAUGGCUCAAAUCUACAUGGCCUCUGGAUUGGACUGCGGCCGAUCAGGCUGUUGGUGAGGUAAUGGCCCACCAAACCUGUUACCGGUACGGGCUCUGAGAGGAGGAGCCCGGAGAUGGGCACUGAGACAAGGGCCCAGGCCCUAUGGGGCGCAGCAGGCGCGAAACCUCUGCAAUAGGCGAAAGCUUGACAGGGUUACUCUGAGUGAUUCCCGCUAAGGGAAUCUUUUGGCAUCUCUAAAAACGAUGCAGAAUAAGGGGUGGGCAAGUCUGGUGUCAGCCGCCGCGGUAAUACCAGCACCCCGAGUGGUCGGGACGAUUAUUGGGCCUAAAGCAUCCGUAGCCGGUCUUGCAAGUCUUCCGUUAAAUCCACCUGCUUAACAGAUGGGCUGCGGAAGAUACUACAAGACUAGGAGGCGGGAGAGGCAAGCGGUACUCAGUGGGUAGGGGUAAAAUCCUCUGAUCCAUUGAAGACCACCAGUGGCGAAGGCGGCUUGCCAGAACGCGCUCGACGGUGAGGGAUGAAAGCUGGGGGAGCAAACCGGAUUAGAUACCCGGGUAGUCCCAGCUGUAAACGAUGCAGACUCGGUGAUGGGCCGGCUUCAUGCCGGCUCAGUGCCGCAGGGAAGCCGUUAAGUCUGCCGCCUGGGGAGUACGGUCGCAAGACUGAAACUUAA